CAGCCGCCGCGGUAAAACGUAGGGUGCAAGCGUUAAUCGGAAUUACUGGGCGUAAAGCGUGCGCAGGCGGUUAUAUAAGACAGAUGUGAAAUCCCCGGGCUCAACCUGGGAACUGCAUUUGUGACUGUAUAGCUAGAGUACGGCAGAGGGGGAUGGAAUUCCGCGUGUAGCAGUGAAAUGCGUAGAUAUGCGGAGGAACACCGAUGGCGAAGGCAAUCCCCUGGGCCUGUACUGACGCUCAUGCACGAAAGCGUGGGGAGCAAACAGGAUUAGAUACCCGCGUAGUCCCUGUCUCUUAUAC
RNAcentral lists this ribosomal RNA (301 nucleotides) under uncultured bacterium. Its description in RNAcentral is "partial 16S ribosomal RNA". It matches the Rfam family "Bacterial small subunit ribosomal RNA", at positions 509 to 807 of the family's 1533-position model. The record is from RNAcentral.